AGACCAUUCACGCAUGGCGUGGUAUUGGGGCACGUGGUUCCGCGGCCCUCAAAAUCAGUGGCGGCGCCGGUAGGUCCUAAGCGUAGUAAAUCUCCUCGCUAUAGGGUCCUCUCGGUGGCUCGCCAGAACCCCCAACUUCUUAA
RNAcentral lists this unclassified non-coding RNA (143 nucleotides) under uncultured Phialocephala. Its description in RNAcentral is "sequence contains ITS2". Lineage: Eukaryota; Fungi; Ascomycota; Leotiomycetes; Helotiales. The record is from RNAcentral.